CUAAUUCUUUGAUGAGUACCUUUGUAAAUAGAAUUGCUCAAAGGACAACAUUCACAGCCACAGACUUGGACACCCAACAAUCUGUAUCCCAGGGUGACAAUACCUCUGGUCACCUCGGAAACAUAGCAGCCACAGCUAUGUUCUCACAACUUGGGGUGAGUUAAGUUCCCAGCUCUAGAGCUGCAGAAUGCAGCUAAAAGGAGCACUUGGCUGGUGACUGAAAUGUGGGCAGCACACCAGGUCACUCAUGUGGCAAGAGUGAAGCCAGUGACCUGGUUGGUGUUAGAUGAGACAGUUCCAAUGAGAAUGACAAACCUAAGCCAGUCUCGCUCGGCAUUUGUGUCUGAAUUUGAUAAGAGGAUAAACUUGGACCAAGAAUCCAGAGUUCAGUGUGUGAAUCCAGGCCCUGGUGGAGACUUCGCCUUGCCAUGUAGAGAACAGAGAAGAAGGGAC
This 453-nucleotide long non-coding RNA is filed under the name Fukomys damarensis (Damara mole-rat). RNAcentral's name for it is "lncRNA (ENSFDAG00000027017.1)". The record is from RNAcentral. Lineage: Eukaryota; Metazoa; Chordata; Mammalia; Rodentia; Bathyergidae.